Molecule: ribosomal RNA, 398 nt
Filed under: uncultured bacterium
Lineage: Bacteria
Description: partial 16S ribosomal RNA
Rfam family: Bacterial small subunit ribosomal RNA
Source: RNAcentral
AUACGUAGGGUGCGAGCGUUGUCCGGAAUUACUGGGCGUAAAGAGCUCGUAGGUGGUUUGUCGCGUCGUCUGUGAAAUUCCGGGGCUUAACUCCGGGCGUGCAGGCGAUACGGGCAUAACUUGAGUACUGUAGGGGAGACUGGAAUUCCUGGUGUAGCGGUGAAAUGCGCAGAUAUCAGGAGGAACACCGGUGGCGAAGGCGGGUCUCUGGGCAGUAACUGACGCUGAGGAGCGAAAGCAUGGGUAGCGAACAGGAUUAGAUACCCUGGUAGUCCAUGCCGUAAACGGUGGGCGCUAGGUGUAGGGGGCUUCCACGCCUUCUGUGCCGUAGCUAACGCAUUAAGCGCCCCGCCUGGGGAGUACGGCCGCAAGGCUAAAACUCAAAGGAAUUGACGGGG